GUGCUUUGAGACACAGAGAGAGACAACGACAACUGUUUUUUUCAACUCGGAGCUGCUGCACAAAACAGCAGAUGAACAGCUCGCAGCAUCAAACACUAAAAGUGGGCAAAGUGGGAAGUGAACACUUAACAGUAU
This is a long non-coding RNA of Thalassophryne amazonica, 135 nucleotides long. RefSeq lists it as uncharacterized. Lineage: Eukaryota; Metazoa; Chordata; Actinopteri; Batrachoidiformes; Batrachoididae. The transcript is spliced from 3 exons. The record is from RefSeq and is a predicted model, not a curated record.